GCCAGACUCCUACGGGAGGCAGCAGUGGGGAAUAUUGGGCAAUGGGCGCAAGCCUGACCCAGCAACGCCGCGUGAAGGAAGAAGGCUUUCGGGUUGUAAACUUCUUUUGUCAGGGACGAAGCAAGUGACGGUACCUGACGAAUAAGCCACAGCUAACUACGUGCCAGCAGCCGCGGUAAUACGUAGGUGGCAAGCGUUAUCCGGAUUUAUUGGGUGUAAAGGGCGUGUAGGCGGGAAUGCAAGUCAGAUGUGGAAACUAGGGGCGCAACCCAUAGCCUGCAUUUGAAACUGUAUUUCUUGAGUGCUGGAGAGGCAAUCGGAAUUCCGUGUGUAGCGGUGAAAUGCGUAGAUAUACGGAGGAGCACCAGUGGCGAAGGCGGAUUGCUGGACAGUAACUGACGCUGAGGCGCGAAAGCGUGGGGAGCAAACAGGAUUAGAUACCCGGGUAA
Molecule: ribosomal RNA, 449 nt
Filed under: uncultured bacterium
Lineage: Bacteria
Description: bacterial SSU rRNA
Rfam family: Bacterial small subunit ribosomal RNA
Source: RNAcentral